RNAcentral lists this ribosomal RNA (506 nucleotides) under uncultured bacterium. RNAcentral describes it as "partial 16S ribosomal RNA". It matches the Rfam family "Bacterial small subunit ribosomal RNA", at positions 28 to 523 of the family's 1533-position model. The record is from RNAcentral.
GAUGAACGCUAGCUACAGGCUUAACACAUGCAAGUCGAGGGGUAACGAGAGGAAAGCUUGCUUUCCUUGUCGACGACCGGCGCACGGGUGAGUAACGCGUAUCCAACCUGCCCCCAACUAGGGAAUAACCUUGCGAAAGUAAGACUAAUACCCUAUAAUUUCCUCAGAUGUCAUCUGACGAGGAAUAAAGAUUUAUCGGUUGUGGAUGGGGAUGCGUCUGAUUAGCUUGUUGGCGGGGUAACGGCCCACCAAGGCAACGAUCAGUAGGGGUUCUGAGAGGAAGGUCCCCCACAUUGGAACUGAGACACGGUCCAAACUCCUACGGGAGGCAGCAGUGAGGAAUAUUGGUCAAUGGGCGGAAGCCUGAACCAGCCAAGUAGCGUGCAGGACGACGGCCCUAUGGGUUGUAAACUGCUUUUAUACAGGAAUAAAGUUAGCCACGUGUGGUUAUUUGUAGGUACUGUAUGAAUAAGGACCGGCUAAUUCCGUGCCAGCCGCCGCCGUAA